UACAGAGACUGCAAGCGUUAUUCGGAUUCACUGGGCGUAAAGGGUGCGCAGGCGGUCGGGUGUGUCAGAUGUGAAAUCCCGAGGCUCAACCUCGGAACUGCGUCUGAAACUACUCGACUAGAGUACUGGAGAGGGUAACGGAAUUCACGGUGUAGCAGUGAAAUGCGUAGAUAUCGUGAGGAACACCAGAGGCGAAGGCGGUUACCUGGACAGGUACUGACACUCAACUACGAAAGCGUGGGGAGCAAACAGG
Molecule: ribosomal RNA, 253 nt
Filed under: uncultured bacterium
Lineage: Bacteria
Description: partial 16S ribosomal RNA
Rfam family: Bacterial small subunit ribosomal RNA
Source: RNAcentral